CGGGGUGCUGCCGGACAUGGGGUCCGGGUGCUGAGAUGAGACCCGUGAACUUGACCAGGGUAAUGCCUGCGAAGGGAAGAAGCA
RNAcentral lists this non-coding RNA (84 nucleotides) under bovine gut metagenome. The record is from RNAcentral.